Molecule: long non-coding RNA, 706 nt
Organism: Uranotaenia lowii
Lineage: Eukaryota; Metazoa; Arthropoda; Insecta; Diptera; Culicidae
Exons: 3
Source: RefSeq, a predicted model, not a curated record
CGUUCCUUGGUUUUUCAUGAUUUUGAUGACCUGCUGUAUAUGUUUUCAUAUCCAUCGAAACAUAACGAGAAGGAUGUCCAAAUCUUCAUCAGCCGGGAGAUUUGUGAACAAUCUUUGUUUAAUUUGGUUUACCACAAGUUGUUUUACAUGCUGACGUUGAUGGACUGGUGGAAGGUGAUGAAAGGCAAACGCAUCUGGAACAAUGAUUCAACGUUAGACAAAGAAACAACGCGUGAAGCGAGCAUAGGUGGCGAUAUUCUAACAUUGUAGUUGAAGUUGGUAGUGGAAUCUGAGAAAUCUAUGUUGAUAGUAUUAAGGCAUGUACGCGGACGAAUCGAAACAGGCUAAAAAGAAAAGGUUUUAAACCAAAAUUUGAAAAAUACAAAAAAGUGAAUCUUAGGUUUUAAAUUUUGCGUUUUAGCUGGCACGUGUUUAAUUUAUAAUCAUUGUUUUCAAUAGUAUUGUAAAAUCAAAACAUGAGUAUAGAUCACAAAACUGAAGAAAGUGGAAAACAUGCACCGUGAGCGGCAUUUUUCAAUCAGAUUGAAGUUACUUAGGGAUAAAUCCCAUCGCACAAGCCACUAAGUAGGACGAACAUUUUUUUGGUGCAGCAAGCACCUAUGUGGAAGUAAUGUGUGGUUCAGGUGGUAAUAGUUUUUCACAAAAAAGAACGAUUGCGUUCGCAGUUUUGAAAUCAAAAAAUAAA